Molecule: ribosomal RNA, 494 nt
Filed under: uncultured bacterium
Lineage: Bacteria
Description: partial 16S ribosomal RNA
Rfam family: Bacterial small subunit ribosomal RNA
Source: RNAcentral
GACGAACGCUGGCGGCGUGCUUAACACAUGCAAGUCGAACGGAAAGGCCUGCUUUCCCUUGUGGAUUGCGGGUACUCGAGUGGCUAACGGGUGAGUAACACGCGAGUGAUCUGCCCUCAACUUGGGUAUAAGCCUGGGAAACUGGGUCUAAUUUCCGAUAGGACUGCAGGGUGGUGCCUGUGGUGGAAAACGAUAUUCUAGUGGUUGGGGAUGAGCUGGCGGCCUAUGAGCUUGCUGGUGGGGUAACGGCCUACCAAGGCGGUGACGGGUAGCCGGACUGUGAGGAGGCACGGCCGCACUGGGACUGGGAUACGGCCCAGACGCCUACGGGAAGCAGGAGUGGGGGAUAUAGGAGAAUGGGCGGGAGCCUGAUGCAGCGAGGCCGCGUGGGAGAUGACGGCCUUCGGGUUGUAAACUACUUGCGACCGAGAGGAAGACGCCUGGUUGGAAGGGUGGUGACGGUAGUGGUAGAAGAAGCACCGGCUAACUACGUG